UCCAUUUCGUUUCAACUAAACCCAAAUGCAUACUCGCUAAAGAUUAAUAAAAUUGAAAAAAAAAACAGUAGAAUUAAACAAAUAAAACAAAAUGAGAUACAUAGAAGUAAAUAAAAAAAAUUAAAAACCCAAUGAAUCUGGGAAAAGAAAAUUAAUCUUUUUUAUUUAAACAGUCAUGAUUGUAUUGACUAUUUUGGCAAAACCUUGCCUUGGACAAUGACAACGUUAGAGGUUAGUAAAGAAAAAUCGAAGAAGUUACAGGUCAAUAAUGAAAACAACAAGUAAUUGUCAAAAAGCAAGGAUUUUUUUGGAUCCUCCUUCAAAUCUACGACUUAUUUUUUAAUAUAUUCAUGUUAUUUUUUUAUGCCACUUCUUUUCAUUUCUCCUCAUCGCUAAUUCCUUACAAUUCUCAUUAAAUUGUUGCAAACUUCAACUUUAAUUUCUUCCACAAUCUCAAACAAGAAGAUUUUCUGCAUUGAAUUGG
This 484-nucleotide long non-coding RNA is filed under the name Populus tremula. RNAcentral's name for it is "long non-coding RNA (PTRE_LNC001615)". Lineage: Eukaryota; Viridiplantae; Streptophyta; Magnoliopsida; Malpighiales; Salicaceae. The record is from RNAcentral.